UACAGAGGGGGCAAGCGUUAUUCGGAAUUAUUGGGCGUAAAGGGCGCGUAGGCGGCUUGGCAAGUGGAAGGUGAAAUCCCUCGGCUUAACCGAGGAACUGCCCUCCAAACUGCUUUGCUUGAGGCCGGGAGGGGGUAGCGGAAUUCCCAGUGUAGCGGUGAAAUGCGUAGAUAUUGGGAGGAACACCAGUGGCGAAGGCGGCUACCUGGACCGGUUCUGACGCUGAUGCGCGAAAGCGUGGGUAGCAAACAGG
Molecule: ribosomal RNA, 253 nt
Filed under: uncultured bacterium
Lineage: Bacteria
Description: partial 16S ribosomal RNA
Rfam family: Bacterial small subunit ribosomal RNA
Source: RNAcentral